Oryza barthii is the source of this 205-nucleotide non-coding RNA. The record is from Rfam. Lineage: Eukaryota; Viridiplantae; Streptophyta; Magnoliopsida; Poales; Poaceae.
AAAAAGACAAACUCUGGUUUCCGUGCCUAACAUUUGAUCGUCCGUCUUAUUUAAAAAAAUUAUGAAAAAAAUUAAAAAGAUAAACCACGCAUAAAAUAUUAAUCAUGUUUUAUCAUCUAACAACAAUAAAAAUACGAAUUAUAAAAAGUUUUUAUAUAAGACAAACAGUCAAAAUUAGACAUAGAAAACCAAGGUUUGUUUUUUU